GGGCGCUUAGCUCAGUCGGUAGAGCAUCUGACUUUUAAUCAGAGGGUCGUAGGUUCGAUCCCUACAGCGCCCACCA
RNAcentral lists this transfer RNA (76 nucleotides) under Caedimonas sp. RNAcentral describes it as "tRNA-Lys". It matches the Rfam family "tRNA". Rfam says of the family: Transfer RNA (tRNA) molecules are approximately 80 nucleotides in length. Their secondary structure includes four short double-helical elements and three loops (D, anti-codon, and T loops). Further hydrogen bonds mediate the characteristic L-shaped molecular structure. tRNAs have two regions of fundamental functional importance: the anti-codon, which is responsible for specific mRNA codon recognition, and the 3' end, to which the tRNAs corresponding amino acid is attached (by aminoacyl-tRNA synthetases). tRNAs cope with the degeneracy of the genetic code in two manners: having more than one tRNA (with a specific anti-codon) for a particular amino acid; and 'wobble' base-pairing, i.e. permitting non-standard base-pairing at the 3rd anti-codon position. Lineage: Bacteria; Pseudomonadati; Pseudomonadota; Alphaproteobacteria; Holosporales; Caedimonadaceae. The record is from RNAcentral.